ACCCUGAAAACUGAAUGAUUUGUUACAUCACAGGAAUAUAGCCUUUCACCACUGUGCGUACGCUGAUGGGUCUUCAGGUUAUGCUGAUCGAUGAAUGACUUGUUACACAAAUCGCAGGAAUAUGGACGCUGGCCAUCAUAAAUUAUGUUCUCUUCUUUUGCUGGACUGUAGCAAACAAAUCGAAAGUCUUCAAAGCCUAGAAAAUUUUAUUCCAUUGUGUGCUGAUCAUGCAUUCGCGUUCACUGGGCGUUGACUGUGACGUCACAACAUGGCGGAUAUGUUUCGUCAACUUUAGUCAGUUGUUACAGAACAAGGACUGUAUUAGUACAACUGUGAACUGAAGUGAGCCAUAUCUUGAAGUGUCAGUAUUUAUUACAUCCAACAACCAAUCAGAUUUCUAUUCAGUUACUGCAACAGUAUCAGUGCCCGUUGAAAAUAAAUAAUUCUGAAUCUUUAUUACGCAGUUUUCUGUUCUCAGUCGUCACUUUAUCUCUCUUAGGUCAAGUUAUUCGGGUUCUGAACUUCAUUUUGAAACAUUCCUAAGAACUAAAUCAGUUUUUACGAUGUUUUGAAGAUAUGUUGCAUGUGAAAUCUAACAAAUACUGAACUUUUCUGCCUUCAAAGACUUUGGACAUCCAUGGAUAUUUGUGUAGCUAGCAGCAAAAAUGAAUUUCUUCUUGGCUUUUACCUGUUGUCUAUCUUGUUUAGACGUGCAAAGGAAGAAUUCAGGCGGAUAAAUUUUCCUGAUCGAUAUCCAGCUUUUAAUGGGAGGAAAAACUUGUACAGUACUCGAGAGCUGCCAGAGUGACACAUAAAGGUUUUCCAUCACCACAAAAUGUUGUGGAUGCCAUUCAUGAAAUCUGCAGACCUCAAGAUGACUGUGAGUUGAACUACAAUCAGAAGGAGGAUUUAAAGAGCUAUAUCUGUUGUAAGGGUGAGAAUAGUUACUGAAAAACCGGGUG
Non-coding RNA from Zootermopsis nevadensis, 962 nucleotides. The record is from RefSeq and is a predicted model, not a curated record. NCBI's taxonomy places the organism in Eukaryota, Metazoa, Arthropoda, Insecta, Blattodea, Termopsidae.